This 447-nucleotide ribosomal RNA is filed under the name uncultured bacterium. RNAcentral's name for it is "partial 16S ribosomal RNA". It matches the Rfam family "Bacterial small subunit ribosomal RNA", at positions 29 to 523 of the family's 1533-position model. The record is from RNAcentral.
AGCGAACGCUGGCGGCAGGCUUAACACAUGCAAGUCGAACGCCCCGCAAGGGGAGUGGCAGACGGGUGAGUAACACGUGGGAACGUACCCUUUGGUUCGGAAUAACUUGGGGAAACUCAAGCUAAUACCGGAUAAGCCCUUAUGGGGAAAGGUUUACUGCCGCAGGAUCGGCCCGCGUCUGAUUAGCUAGUUGGUGAGGUAAUGGCUCACCAAGGCGACGAUCAGUAGCUGGUCUGUGAGGAUGAUCAGCCACACUGGGACUGAGACACGGCCCAGACUCCUACGGGAGGCAGCAGUGGGGAAUAUUGGACAAUGGGGGCAACCCUGAUCCAGCCAUGCCGCGUGAGUGAUGAAGGCCUUAGGGUUGUAAAGCUCUUUUACCCGGGACGAUAAUGACUGUACCGGGAGAAUAAGCCCCGGCUAACUUCGUGCCAGCAGCCGCGGUAA